UACGGAGGAUGCGAGCGUUAUCCGGAUUUAUUGGGUUUAAAGGGUGCGCAGGCGGUCUGUUAAGUCAGCGGUAAAAGCCCGGGGCUCAACCCCGGCGAGCCGUUGAAACUGGCAGUCUUGAGUACAGUAGAGGUGGGCGGAAUUCGUGGUGUAGCGGUGAAAUGCUUAGAUAUCACGAAGAACUCCGAUUGCGAAGGCAGCAUACCGGCGGCGAUCUGACGCUGAGGCACGAAAGCGUGGGUAUCGAACAGG
Molecule: ribosomal RNA, 252 nt
Filed under: uncultured Bacteroidales bacterium
Lineage: Bacteria; Pseudomonadati; Bacteroidota; Bacteroidia; Bacteroidales
Description: partial 16S ribosomal RNA
Rfam family: Bacterial small subunit ribosomal RNA
Source: RNAcentral